RNAcentral lists this ribosomal RNA (479 nucleotides) under uncultured Glomus. RNAcentral's name for it is "SSU rRNA". It matches the Rfam family "Eukaryotic small subunit ribosomal RNA", at positions 569 to 1052 of the family's 1831-position model. Lineage: Eukaryota; Fungi; Glomeromycota; Glomeromycetes; Glomerales; Glomeraceae. The record is from RNAcentral.
AGCGGCCGCGGUAAUUCCAGCUCCAAUAGCGUAUAUUAAAGUUGUUGCAGUUAAAAAGCUCGUAGUUGAAUUUCGGGAUCAGUACGCUGGUCGUGCCUUCGGUAUGCACUGGUUUCACUGAUUCCUCCCUUCUGAAGAACCGUAAUGCCAUUCAGUUGGUGUGGCGGGGAAUCAGGAUCGUUACUUUGAAAAAAUUAGAGUGUUUAAAGCAGGCUCGCGCUUGAAUACAUUAGCAUGGAAUAAUGAAAUAGGACGUUUGAUCCUAUUUUGUUGGUUUCUAGGAUUGACGUAAUGAUUAAUAGGGAUAGUUGGGGGCAUUAGUAUUCAAUUGUCAGAGGUGAAAUUCUUGGAUUUAUUGAAGACUAACUACUGCGAAAGCAUUUGCCAAGGAUGUUUUCAUUAAUCAAGAACGAAAGUUAGGGGAUCGAAGACGAUCAGAUACCGUCGUAGUCUUAACCAUAAACUAUGCCGACUAGGGA